Molecule: long non-coding RNA, 1371 nt
Organism: Triticum dicoccoides
Lineage: Eukaryota; Viridiplantae; Streptophyta; Magnoliopsida; Poales; Poaceae
Exons: 3
Source: RefSeq, a predicted model, not a curated record
CCUCAACCUAACGAAGCCAUACCGAGGACUCUUCCUCGGAGCCUUCUCCCGCUCCGCCCGCUCAUUGGUUCGUGUCACACCGGUCCACCCCUGGACGGCGUGACCUGGCAAGGCUGGCAAGCGGGGCCCUAGCCUGGGUGUGAGUGUGUGGGGUUUAAAAGGACCAGCCUAUUGGUCGAGUGAGUCAUGCGUGUGAAUCACUUUUCUUGUAUCUGAACUUUCCUCUGAAAUCCAAACCCCUUCUCCAAGCUCAUCCCCUUCCUCACCUGCUCCAUCUCACCCACUUAGAUCACCGAUCCCCUCUCAGAUCGGGGGUGUUACAUUGGUAUUCAGAGCCAAAAAAAUUCUUCCCCUCGCCGCCGCUGCACCUUCUGAAGCUUGGGAGGUGGAUCGGUAACACCCACCGCGCACGGUGCGAGUCCGCUCGCCGGAUCUCGCCCGAAAUCCGUCACGGGGUUCGAUCCCCUCAUUGGUUCGUCAGCCCCGCGUCCCCAUCACGGUGGCGACACGACGGAGGGCGCCAACAACAAGGAUGCCACCUAGGGGUGGCGGGGGAGCCACCGACGGGCGAGCUCUUGCUAUGGACGCGCCGAUGGGAGGGGUCCAGGAGCCACCACAGCAGCAGGAGAGUCUUCCUAGAGAGCGGGAACGGAGAGGACUCGCUCGGCAGCAGCGACGGUGAUCUCAACGGUCUUGCCGACCUCACCCACCUGGCCGUUAUGUUUUCGCACUGUUGCUGGGCGUACCUUCCGGGACCACAGAGCUGUCUGGUACAAGUUUGGACAGCAAAGCUCUGCAUGCUCGGGUGCUCACUCUGACGCCUAACGCCCUGCCUUUCCGGUAUCCUCUUCCUCGUUGGUUCCGACAUAGUUUGUUUCAGCCAUUGGCAAGAAGACUCACAUCAACAUUGUGGUCAUUUGGCAUCUUGACUCUGGCAAGUCGGCCACCACUGGGCCAUCUGAUGUACAAGCUUGGAGGUAUUGACAAGAGGUUGGAGAGGAAGCUCCUAAGAUGAAUAAGAUAAUCAUUCAAAUACGCGUGGGUGCUUGGCAAGAUGAAGGCCCAUCGGAGUUUGAUGCCCCCGAAACUAAAUCUGCAUUGUGUGCAGUGGAUUAGGAUAAAGUUUUUGGUUGGUAGUUGUUUAAAGAUCAUGUUGUUGCUCGAGUCCAAUACUCUAGACUGUGUAGUGUUUAAAGAACCCAUGACAUUUGUACACAUCUCUUCUCAGCUACAUAACAUAUUUCUCGCUCGUUAAACAAGAAAAUGGCUGGGACUUGCUUAUGUGCAAUUUGCAGUGCCUCAUUGGAUUUAUCGUGUAUAUCAACCUAUUUAUUAUCAACAUUUUUUUGGAGGACAUGUGUGAACUUGAUA